This 1046-nucleotide long non-coding RNA is filed under the name Felis catus (domestic cat). RNAcentral's name for it is "lncRNA (ENSFCAG00000046509.2)". The record is from RNAcentral. Lineage: Eukaryota; Metazoa; Chordata; Mammalia; Carnivora; Felidae.
GGGUGGGGGUGACAGAGAAGACGCGGCCAUUGUGCGAUCCUGGGCGCCCCCCCUCCGCGUCCAGCAGAUAUUGGGACCCCGGCCCUGGAAACCAGCCCUCGAGUGGCUCUCCCUCCUCUGAGAACAAGAUAAUUUAUCUCCCACUUUGAAUCUGUGGUCCCACCCCUCCCGUCUCCCGUCUAGACUUCCGAGCGCUGGCCUUCGCCGCCCCCACCCUGCUCCCCCCUCCCUCAGCCCCCAAGUGUCACUUUGUCCUUCACAACUAAGAUGGGGACUUGUGAUUCGUCCAGCUGACGGAGACGGGGGUCGGGGGACACCCUGAGACGGCAAAGUGUCCUUCUGCCGUCACUCCUCACCCCCCAACCCGGGACGCUCCCGAGUCCGGAGACAGGGGCAGCACCCCCUCUUUGCCGCCUUCCAGGGAGAGCGGCGGGAGAAAGAAAGAGCGAGGCGAGCGGAAUUCUUGAAUGGACGGACCGAUGCUACGUCACCGUCACCGGGCCGCACCCCCGCGCCACGGGAGGCUGGGAGCCGCGAGAGAGGCAGUCGGGCGGGCGGCAGGGGCCGCCGAGCCGCCUCUCCUCCUCCCAGAAGCCGGGGCUGGGCGUCCGGAAGCAGCGGCCUCGGUCCGGUGUCACCGUCAUCGUGGGCGACCACCUUGGCUUUUAGGCUUCUCACCUGGGGCGGGUGGGUGCUUGUCACCCUCCCGCCCGCUUUCCUCCACUCCUGGGCCAGAGCCGCGUCCAGCACCACGGACAGCUCCCGGGCGCCUGGCGGUCUGGCUUCCCUCGUCUCUCGGCCCUUGUGAAGCUACACCCUGGAGACCACCCACGGCCCCGCCAAGGGCCCACCGCCCACCCCCACCUCAGGCCAGGAGACCUCUGCAGCGCAGGCCCCGCUGGCCCCGGUCCUGCCUCCUCCUGUGGCCUUUGGCCCUCCUGUUACGUCCUCGCUCAUGCGUCCUGGGUUCUGCUCAUUCAGUCUUCCAGGUCUUCAUUUCCCGCAUCUCGUCGUUCUCCAGAGGGAGCGCUAGCCGGACAUCGUGA